Long non-coding RNA from Plodia interpunctella (Indianmeal moth), 1811 nucleotides. RefSeq lists it as uncharacterized. Lineage: Eukaryota; Metazoa; Arthropoda; Insecta; Lepidoptera; Pyralidae. The record is from RefSeq and is a predicted model, not a curated record. The transcript has 2 exons.
AGCCGCUGUUUAUCAUAAAUUUUAUGACACUAUUAUUAUAAUUAGUAUUCUCUUUCAAAAACAUGUACAGAUUGAUGUGUUGUCAAUGCUGCAUCAUGUGUGACAUUGCAUUGUAAUUUCAGAAUUAUACUUAGAUUAUUCAUUCAAACGUCGUCGUGAAUGUUAAUGAGAAUUGCAUUUCAUUUAUUCAUAACUACAUAGAAUAAAACAAAAUCGCUUCCCGCUGUCUGUCUGUUCUUAUAUAUGCUUAUAUCUUUAAAACUACGAAACGCAUUUUAAUGCGGGUUGAACAGGUUUUUAUCAUGGAUUUAGUAAGUAAGUACUUCGACUCUAGAGGAAGGUGUAGGUGUAAUGUACUUUGGUUUUACCUGAGCGAAGCCAAGACGGGCCGCUAGUAAUAUUAUACAUGAGACUUACCUAAGUUUAAACCAUGCACAGAAUUUAUAAUACUCCAGCAGGCUUACUCUCGAAUCACAAUCCCAAUAUACGAUCCCAAUCUCAAUGCAAGAAACGUCAUUUGGCACUCUUGAAUUUAACACUAGCGCCACAUUGGUGCGGAUAUUGAAUGAACUAAAUUUCAUUGGGAUUGAGUUUUGGAACUUGAGAUCGUUACUCUUGAAGCCACUUUGACAGCUCCAUAUUGCGUUGAAAUUGUGUUAUUAUUGGAUAUUGUAACAAUAGCGAAAGAGUAACUUUGUUAGAAUUGAGUUAACAUUUUAGCUGUGAAAAAGUGCAUAAAAUGGUUCGUUUGGUGUUGCAAAGCGUAAUUCUUAGUGAUGUCUAUAGGAAGGAUUUGCGAGAAACUCGUAAUUUGCGUAGGAAUGCUCGAUACGCCGAUAAAACCCUUGCUAUGACUGACGACGAGUUUAAGCGAAAUUAUUGUGUCACCAAGGCAUUUUUUUAUGGAUUGUGCUAAGAAAUUGAACCCUUAAUGCAAACUCCAAAAACGAGAAAUGAUAUCAGUAAAAAAUACAAGAUACUAAUAGCACUUUCAUUCUUUGCGACUGGCGGGAUACUAGGUACUCCCAUGUCACAGCAAUCAUUAUCUCGAGCAUUGAGGGAUGUGACUGCAGCAUUAAACAGCCCGAGUGUUCUGCAUAAAAACAUAAAAUAUAGAGUGUUACAUUAUUACCCUGUUGUAGCAACAAAAAUUAUAAACACUUGCUGCAUGCUCCACAAUAUGUGCAACCAGGCACAUUUAAUAGUGGAAGAUGAUGAGAACCCUAAUAACAUACAGACCUAACUGUUGAUGUAGAACCCGCACUACAAGAAAGAGAUGGAGCUUCUAUAGAGCUGCAAAGGGAUACCCCUUAGAAGCUAGAGCAAAUCUUGUGCGACAAUUGUGGGCAGCAUGUGGUGUGUGAUAAUGAGUAAUAUUUGGUUGGGAAUAUCCUCACAGGAAGUAUAAAAACAAUCAUUAAGUUAAAAAAAUAUAUUUAUUGUUUAUAAUCUUUAUUGACCUAAAAUACAGAGAACACUAAUAUAAUUUGUAUUUAAUAAAUUAUUAUUUAAAUAACAUUUAAAAAUCUACACAAAACUUCAUAAAUAUUAGUAUGGAAUCAUAUAAUGCCUACAAAACUUUUUUCGCCUUGCUGCUCGCUGUGUUCUACCUGCAGCCCUACCUCCACAGGAGGCUGUGGAUUAUGAAUAUGAAUUUCUUGCUCUAUUUCCAGGGUUUCAGUGGCAGCCUGUGAUGUGGAUGGCAGGUCUAUUAAUUUAGAAGGGCGAGACUGCAAAAGAAAGGAAGUUAUUAUAUAUCACAUAACUGAAUUAUGCACAUAGAUGUAUAUUACAAUUGUGUGCAAAAUGAA